RNAcentral lists this long non-coding RNA (272 nucleotides) under Amborella trichopoda. Its description in RNAcentral is "long non-coding RNA (ATRI_LNC004256)". Lineage: Eukaryota; Viridiplantae; Streptophyta; Magnoliopsida; Amborellales; Amborellaceae. The record is from RNAcentral.
GAAGAUUGAAUGAGUGGGAUGAAAUUCGUCAUCGUAGAAGCACGUCAGUUGAAUUUGUACUCCAAUAGAAGACACUAUCGUAAUAAACCCGCUGUUCAAGUGGCACAUCUCACGACCCCAAUAAAAAUACAAUCUCCAAGUCCUCAUUAGGGCCCACAAACGAAGAGAGGGAGGAGCGGUCAAAAUCCACGAAAUUCCGCAAGUUAAAAAUCAGGAAAUUCCGCACGUAGGUACGUAACUUUCUUUCCACAACAGCCCCCCCCUGCACGUCC